UAUAUUUGCAGCCUGAUUGAAAAUCAUUCAGAUACAUAAAAAUCAUUAAACGAAUAUUGGAAUG
This 64-nucleotide non-coding RNA is filed under the name Maribacter antarcticus DSM 21422. RNAcentral describes it as "S15-Flavobacteria ribosomal protein leader". It matches the Rfam family "S15-Flavobacteria ribosomal protein leader". The record is from RNAcentral. Lineage: Bacteria; Pseudomonadati; Bacteroidota; Flavobacteriia; Flavobacteriales; Flavobacteriaceae.